This 311-nucleotide ribosomal RNA is filed under the name uncultured bacterium. RNAcentral describes it as "bacterial SSU rRNA". It matches the Rfam family "Bacterial small subunit ribosomal RNA", at positions 29 to 361 of the family's 1533-position model. The record is from RNAcentral.
AACGAACGCUGGCGGCAUGCCUAACACAUGCAAGUCGAACGGACGGUAGCAAUACCGUUAGUGGCGGACGGGUGAGUAACGCGUGGGAACCUGCCUCGAAGUUCGGAAUAACCGCGGGAAACUGCGGCUAAUACCGGAUGUGGCCUGAGGGUCAAAGGCGCAAGUCGCUUCGAGAGGGGCCCGCGUCCGAUUAGCUAGUUGGUGGGGUAACGGCCUACCAAGGCGACGAUCGGUAGCUGGUCUGAGAGGAUGAUCAGCCACACUGGGACUGAGACACGGCCCAGACUCCUACGGGAGGCAGCAGUGGGGAA